GGUCUCGGGCGGAUUAGUGGCGAACGGGUGAGUAAUACGUGAGUAACCUGCCCUUGACUCUGGGAUAAGCCUGGGAAACUGGGUCUAAUACUGGAUACUACCUCUUACCGCAUGGUGGGUGGUGGAAAGGGUUUUACUGGUUUUGGAUGGGCUCACGGCCUAUCAGCUUGUUGGUGGGGUAAUGGCUCACCAAGGCGACGACGGGUAGCCGGCCUGAGAGGGUGACCGGCCACACUGGGACUGAGACACGGCCCAGACUCCUACGGGAGGCAGCAGUGGGGAAUAUUGCACAAUGGGCGGAAGCCUGAUGCAGCGACGCCGCGUGAGGGAUGACGGCCUUCGGGUUGUAAACCUCUUUCAGUAGGGAAGAAGCGAGAGUGACGGUACCUGCAGAAGAAGCGCCGGCUAACUACGUGCCAGCAGCCGCGGUAAUACGUAGGGCGCAAGCGUUGUCCGGAAUUAUUGGGCGUAAAGAGCUCGUAGGCGGUUUGUCGCGUCUGCUGUGAAAGCCCGGGGCUCAACCCCGGGUCUGCAGUGGGUACGGGCAGACUAGAGUGCAGUAGGGGAGACUGGAAUUCCUGGUGUAGCGGUGAAAUGCGCAGAUAUCAGGAGGAACACCGAUGGCGAAGGCAGGUCUCUGGGCUGUUACUGACGCUGAGGAGCGAAAGCAUGGGGAGCGAACAGGAUUAGAUACCCUGGUAGUCCAUGCCGUAAACGUUGGGCACUAGGUGUGGGGGACAUUCCACGUUUUCCGCGCCGUAGCUAACGCAUUAAGUGCCCCGCCUGGGGAGUACGGCCGCAAGGCUAAAACUCAAAGGAAUUGACGGGGGCCCGCACAAGCGGCGGAGCAUGCGGAUUAAUUCGAUGCAACGCGAAGAACCUUACCAAGGCUUGACAUUCACCGGACCGCCCCAGAGAUGGGGUUUCCCUUCGGGGCUGGUGGACAGGUGGUGCAUGGUUGUCGUCAGCUCGUGUCGUGAGAUGUUGGGUUAAGUCCCGCAACGAGCGCAACCCUCGUUCUAUGUUGCCAGCACGUGAUGGUGGGGACUCAUAGGAGACUGCCGGGGUCAACUCGGAGGAAGGUGGGGAUGACGUCAAAUCAUCAUGCCCCUUAUGUCUUGGGCUUCACGCAUGCUACAAUGGCCGGUACAAAGGGUUGCGAUACUGUGAGGUGGAGCUAAUCCCAAAAAGCCGGUCUCAGUUCGGAUUGAGGUCUGCAACUCGACCUCAUGAAGUCGGAGUCGCUAGUAAUCGCAGAUCAGCAACGCUGCGGUGAAUACGUUCCCGGGCCUUGUACACACCGCCCGUCAAGUCACGAAAGUUGGUAACACCCGAAGCCGGUGGCCUAACCCCUUGUGGGAGGGAGCCGUCGAAGGUGGGACUGGCGAUUGGGACUAAGUCGUAAAAGGGUAACCGA
This 1417-nucleotide ribosomal RNA is filed under the name Kocuria sp. MC10-F2. RNAcentral's name for it is "bacterial SSU rRNA". It matches the Rfam family "Bacterial small subunit ribosomal RNA". Lineage: Bacteria; Bacillati; Actinomycetota; Actinomycetes; Micrococcales; Micrococcaceae. The record is from RNAcentral.